CGCGUAGGCGGUUUGAAUCGUCGGAUGUGAAAGGCCUGGGCUCAACCUGGGAACGGCAUCCGAUACGGUCAGACUUGAGUGUGGGAGAGGUUGGUGGAAUUCCCAGUGUAGAGGUGAAAUUCGUAGAUAUUGGGAAGAACACCGGUGGCGAAGGCGGCCAACUGGACCACAACUGACGCUGAGGCGCGAAAGCGUGGGGAGCAAACAGGAUUAGAUACCCUGGUAGUCCACGCUGUAAACGAUGCGUGCUAGACGUUGGGAGCCCUAGGCUCUCGGUGUCGUCGCUAACGCUUUAAGCACGCCGCCUGGGGAGUACGGUCGCAAGAUUAAA
Molecule: ribosomal RNA, 331 nt
Filed under: uncultured Azospirillum sp.
Lineage: Bacteria; Pseudomonadati; Pseudomonadota; Alphaproteobacteria; Rhodospirillales; Azospirillaceae
Description: bacterial SSU rRNA
Rfam family: Bacterial small subunit ribosomal RNA
Source: RNAcentral